AUGAACGCUGGCGGCGUGCUUAACACAUGCAAGUCGAACGAAGCUCUUGAACGGAGGAUUCGUCUGAAGUGAGAAGAUGACUAGUGGCGGACGGGUGAGGUAACGCGUGGGGAAUCUGCCCCGUACCGGGGGAUAACACUUAGAAAUAGGUGCUAAUACCGCAUAAGCGCACGGUGUCGCAUGACACAGUGUGAAAAAACUCCGGUGGUACGGGAUGAUCCCGCGUCUGAUUAGCCAGUUGGCAGGGUAACGGCCUACCAAAGCGACGAUCAGUAGCCGGCCUGAGAGGGCAAACGGCCACAUUGGGACUGAGACACGGCCCAAACUCCUACGGGAGGCAGCAGUGGGGAAUAUUGCACAAUGGGGGAAACCCUGAUGCAAGCGACGCCGCGUGAGUGAAGAAGUAUUUCGGUAUGUAAAGCUCUAUCAGCAGGAAAGAAAAUGACGGUACCUGACUAAGAAGCCCCGGCUAACUACGUGCCAGCAGCCGC
This 491-nucleotide ribosomal RNA is filed under the name uncultured bacterium. RNAcentral's name for it is "bacterial SSU rRNA". It matches the Rfam family "Bacterial small subunit ribosomal RNA", at positions 29 to 518 of the family's 1533-position model. The record is from RNAcentral.